AUUCCUGAAGGAACGUUGAAGACGACGACGUUGAUAGGCCGGGUGUGUAAGCGCAGCGAUGCGUUGAGCUAACCGGUACUAAUGAACCGUGAGGCUUAACCUUACAACGCCGAAG
RNAcentral lists this ribosomal RNA (115 nucleotides) under Salmonella enterica subsp. enterica serovar Infantis. RNAcentral describes it as "partial 23S ribosomal RNA". The stretch from base 1 to 103 matches the Rfam family "Bacterial large subunit ribosomal RNA", at positions 2823 to 2925 of the family's 2925-position model. The record is from RNAcentral. Lineage: Bacteria; Pseudomonadati; Pseudomonadota; Gammaproteobacteria; Enterobacterales; Enterobacteriaceae.